GGCUGAGUAGCUCAGUUGGUGAGAGCGCACGACUCAUAAUCGUGAGGUCGCGGGUUCGAGUCCCGCCUCAGCUA
Molecule: transfer RNA, 74 nt
Filed under: Pseudoclavibacter albus
Lineage: Bacteria; Bacillati; Actinomycetota; Actinomycetes; Micrococcales; Microbacteriaceae
Also listed under: 16 other names
Description: tRNA-Met
Rfam family: tRNA
About the family: Transfer RNA (tRNA) molecules are approximately 80 nucleotides in length. Their secondary structure includes four short double-helical elements and three loops (D, anti-codon, and T loops).
Source: RNAcentral